CGGGUGCGCGCGGGAGAGCUCGCCGGGUCAGCCGUUUUCGGGUGGCCGGGCGGCGCCGAAGGAGCAACCGCCCCGGAAACUCUCAGGCGAUAGGGACCGCGCGCGCCGU
Molecule: non-coding RNA, 109 nt
Filed under: Erythrobacter sp.
Lineage: Bacteria; Pseudomonadati; Pseudomonadota; Alphaproteobacteria; Sphingomonadales; Erythrobacteraceae
Description: Glycine sequence
Rfam family: Glycine riboswitch aptamer
About the family: This family represents the bacterial glycine riboswitch. Glycine riboswitches usually consist of two metabolite-binding aptamers domains with similar structures in tandem.
Source: RNAcentral